UUCGAUGCAACGCGAAGAACUUACCAACGGCUUGACAUACACCGGUAACGCCCAGAGAUGGUGCCCCUUUGUGGUCGGUGGACAGGUGGUGCAUGGUUGUCGUCAGCUCGUGUCGUGAGAUGUUGGGUUAAGUCCCGCAACGAGCGCAACCCUCGUCCUAUGUUGCCAGCGGGUCAUGCCGGGGACUCAUGGGAGACUGCCGGGGUCAACUCGGAGGAAGGUGGGGAUGACGUCAAAUCAUCAUGCCCCUUAUGUCUUGGGCUUCACGCAUGCUACAAUGGCCGGUACAAAGGGCUGCGAUACCGCGAGGUGGAGCGAAUCCCAGAAAGCCGGUCUCAGUUCGGAUUGGGGUCUGCAACUCGACCCCAUGAAGUCGGAGUCGCUAGUAAUCGCAGAUCAGCAACGCUGCGGUGAAUACGUUCCCGGGCCUU
RNAcentral lists this ribosomal RNA (431 nucleotides) under uncultured Cellulomonas sp. RNAcentral describes it as "bacterial SSU rRNA". It matches the Rfam family "Bacterial small subunit ribosomal RNA", at positions 950 to 1382 of the family's 1533-position model. Lineage: Bacteria; Bacillati; Actinomycetota; Actinomycetes; Micrococcales; Cellulomonadaceae. The record is from RNAcentral.